AAGCUACACUCUGUGUCAGAAGUCGGAAACGACAGUGAUUUGGCUCAAUUUAAGCUUGCUAAAGUAAACUGCGGCCUGACUUAUACCAGCACUCUCUUCGCCAGUGGGAUUUGCUGUUAUGCAGACCGUAACAUA
Anguilla rostrata (American eel) is the source of this 135-nucleotide small nucleolar RNA. RefSeq annotates it as small nucleolar RNA SNORA28. The record is from RefSeq and is a predicted model, not a curated record. The transcript has a single exon. Lineage: Eukaryota; Metazoa; Chordata; Actinopteri; Anguilliformes; Anguillidae.